GACGAACGCUGGCGGCGUGCCUAAUACAUGCAAGUAGAACGCUGAAGAGAGGAGCUUACUCUUCUUGGAUGAGUUGCGAACGGGUGAGUAACGCGUAGGUAACCUGCCUUGUAGCGGGGGAUAACUAUUGGAAACGAUAGCUAAUACCGCAUAACAAUGGAUGACACAUGUCAUUUAUUUGAAAGGGGCAAUUGCUCCACUACAAGAUGGACCUGCGUUGUAUUAGCUAGUAGGUGAGGUAAUGGCUCACCUAGGCGACGAUACAUAGCCGUCCUGAGAGGGUGAUCGGCCACACUGGGACUGAGACACGGCCCAGACUCCUACGGGAGGCAGCAGUAGGGAAUCUUCGGCAAUGGGGGCAACCCUGACCGAGCAACGCCGCGUGAGUGAAGAAGGUUGUCGGAUCGUAAAGCUCUGUUGUAAGUCAAGAACGGGUGUGAGAGUGGAAAGUUCACACUGUGACGGUAGCUUACCAGAAAGGGACGGCUAACUACGUG
This 497-nucleotide ribosomal RNA is filed under the name uncultured bacterium. RNAcentral's name for it is "partial 16S ribosomal RNA". It matches the Rfam family "Bacterial small subunit ribosomal RNA", at positions 28 to 507 of the family's 1533-position model. The record is from RNAcentral.